RNAcentral lists this long non-coding RNA (1658 nucleotides) under Meleagris gallopavo (turkey). Its description in RNAcentral is "lncRNA (ENSMGAG00000020018.1)". The record is from RNAcentral. Lineage: Eukaryota; Metazoa; Chordata; Aves; Galliformes; Phasianidae.
UGAUGCCGGCGGCGGCGGCGCGCGGUGCUUCGGGGGGCCCGAGUGCUCGGGGCUGAGCGCAGCAGGGACGGCUGUGGGUGGCAGCUGAUCUCGGGGUGAUGGGAAUGUCCGUCCUGCGGGAUGCGCUCACACACGCCUCUUUCCUCGCAGCUGAGUGCUGGUCCGCUGAGGAGCUCCUCCCCGCAGGGUCCGGGGAUGGAGCAGCGCUUGGGCAAGAUGUCCUCGAAGCAGUUCUGCAGGAGGGCGCGCCGGGAGGUAGGUGGGGCUGCGGAUGUGGCUGGGAGCACGGGAACUCUGUGGGACUUGUGUGUGGGACAGCGAGGAUGGGGACCCACUACUCCGUGCCUUGGGACACAGAGCAGGUGGGAGAGCACCCCCGUGGUACAGGAGAGAGUUGGGAAGGCCAGGAAUUGUCUGUGACUACAAAUGGGAGGGUUUUGGUCUCCCCAUCCCUGCAUGACAUUCUCCUGGUAAAGGAGAGGGAGCCAGCAGCAGUGGGGAGGCUCUCAUCCUGCUUUUCUCUCCCCGUGUCCCCUCUGCAGCCCUAUCUGCGUCAGGCUGGGCCAUCGCCUCCACGUGCUCAUGGCCCCCGGGAUGCCUGGCGCAAUCCUCCAUGGGAGCAGCAGCACCGAAGAGCUGGGGGAAGAAUGCGUCUGCCCGGUGCCAGGCAGCCCAGGCCUUUCCCUGGCCCUGCUAACAUCCACCAGUACGAGGAGAAUUGGAGAUGGGCCCCCCAGAACCGUGAUGUGCCACCACCUCCCUGGAUGUACAGAGAGGACCAUCAGAGCCAUGAGAUACCACAGCUGCGUCACCGGGACUUCUUUGCCCAGCCUGAGUUCCCCAGCCAGGAGCAGCGUCCUGCUGGAUUCCCUCGGGAGCAAGAAGACAACUGCUCACCCCAGCGCCAUUGUGGCCCACGCCGGAGACGCUGCCGACUCCUUCGGCCCAUCCAGCAGGAGACAGCAGACAACAGCUGUUCUCCCCACAGCUCCCAAGGGUACCAUCCAUCCUCCAAGCCCUCUCAGUCCUGCUCCCCAGAGAGCCAGCUGGGGCUCAGAGAGCAUCUCGCUGCUCCCCAGUCACCUGCUGCCUGCAAAAACAGUCUGCAAAGCGCGCAGCAGGUGGAUGAGGGCCAGCGGGUGGCAAGCAGUGAGGCACUGGAACGGCCCAGGCGUGCAGAGAAGAGCUCAGAGAAGAGCCCGGGCACUGACCCCCAGGCAGCGGAGCAGAAGCCAGCGGCAGGAGCAAAGCCAGUUGGGCCUGAAGGAGGAGAGGGAGCUGCAGGCAACCAGCAGCUCUCUGCCCUGGAGUUGGAGCCGGUCUCCUCGGAGACAACCAGCACCAGCGAGGAGGAAGGCUUGGAGCUGGCUGCAGGCUUCCAGAGCUCACCCCGCCCCCUGCGCUCCGCACUUUCCCCCACCAGCACAGACCUGCGCUCUGCUGCCAUCCUCACCAAGAAGGAGAGCAUCGAGCAGGGGUACCACGACUUCUGCCUCAGCUUUGCCCUGGUGUCCUCGCUGCUGCUGCAGAAGGAGCCCUCCAUGGAGGCGAUGCUGAUGAAGGCACUGAGAGCCAACCUGUGCGACCUCCGCAACCGCCUCCUGGAUGAGAUGGAGGACUUCAUCCAGCAGUACGAUGCGACGCACCCCAGCUGCUGA